RNAcentral lists this ribosomal RNA (600 nucleotides) under uncultured bacterium. RNAcentral's name for it is "bacterial SSU rRNA". It matches the Rfam family "Bacterial small subunit ribosomal RNA", at positions 81 to 677 of the family's 1533-position model. The record is from RNAcentral.
UGCUACCUGAUUCAGCGGCGGACGGGUGAGUAAUGCCUAGGAAUCUGCCCGAUAGUGGGGGACAACGUUUCGAAAGGAACGCUAAUACCGCAUACGUCCUACGGGAGAAAGUGGGGGAUCUUCGGACCUCACGCUAUCGGAUGAGCCUAGGUCGGAUUAGCUAGUUGGUGAGGUAAUGGCUCACCAAGGCGACGAUCCGUAACUGGUCUGAGAGGAUGAUCAGUCACACUGGAACUGAGACACGGUCCAGACUCCUACGGGAGGCAGCAGUGGGGAAUAUUGGACAAUGGGCGAAAGCCUGAUCCAGCCAUGCCGCGUGUGUGAAGAAGGUCUUCGGAUUGUAAAGCACUUUAAGUUGGGAGGAAGGGCAGUAAGCUAAUACCUUGCUGUUUUGACGUUACCAACAGAAUAAGCACCGGCUAACUUCGUGCCAGCAGCCGCGGUAAUACGAAGGGUGCAAGCGUUAAUCGGAAUUACUGGGCGUAAAGCGCGCGUAGGUGGUUCAGCAAGUUGGAUGUGAAAUCCCCGGGCUCAACCUGGGAACUGCAUCCAAAACUACUGAGCUAGAGUACGGUAGAGGGUGGUGGAAUUUCCUGUGUA